AAAGCUGCUGGGCAAGAGAUACCGUGAUCAUGAGGGCGGUUGUCCCAGGGUGAGGCUCACCAUCGCACUCCGAUGGUGUUGACCCCUACAAUUAACCCAAAUGCGGUUAACUCGAGAGCGGAAUUUUUGUUUGCAGGGGACUGUAUUUUUUCUAUCCCCUU
Small nuclear RNA from Cherax quadricarinatus, 161 nucleotides. RefSeq annotates it as U1 spliceosomal RNA. The record is from RefSeq and is a predicted model, not a curated record. Lineage: Eukaryota; Metazoa; Arthropoda; Malacostraca; Decapoda; Parastacidae.